RNAcentral lists this ribosomal RNA (391 nucleotides) under uncultured bacterium. RNAcentral describes it as "bacterial SSU rRNA". It matches the Rfam family "Bacterial small subunit ribosomal RNA", at positions 140 to 518 of the family's 1533-position model. The record is from RNAcentral.
GGGAUAGCCCAGGGAAACCUGGAUUAAUACCGGAUGAGACGGGACCCGCGAUGGCGGGACCCGGGAAAGGCGCUGCGGCGCCGCCGGGGGGAUGAGUCUGCGUCCCAUUAGCUAGACGGCGGGGUAACGGCCCACCGUGGCGACGAUGGGUAGCCGGCCUGAGAGGGUGGACGGCCACAUUGGAACUGAGACACGGUCCAGACUCCUACGGGAGGCAGCAGCUAAGAAUCUCCGCAAUGGGCGAAAGCCUGACGGAGCCGACGCCGCGUGAACGAAGAAGGCCGUGAGGUUGUAAAGUUCUUUCGGGAGGGGAACAACCGUGGCAGGGAAUGGCCGCGGGAUGACGUGAAUACCCGGAAUAAGCCCCGGCUAACUACGUGCCAGCCGCAGC